UCGGUUCCGGUUCACGCCGUCAACUGCCCGAACGACUCGGCAGCGGCGACCCGGGGCC
Molecule: regulatory RNA element, 58 nt
Rfam family: L31-Actinobacteria ribosomal protein leader
Source: Rfam